This 5021-nucleotide unclassified non-coding RNA is filed under the name Homo sapiens (human). RNAcentral's name for it is "membrane associated ring-CH-type finger 8 (ENSG00000278545.4)". The record is from RNAcentral. Lineage: Eukaryota; Metazoa; Chordata; Mammalia; Primates; Hominidae.
UAUCUGUAAGGACACAUUACAGGCGUCAAAGAGAAAUUCCUUUGGUUCAGAAUGGGCCCAGGCCUUGAAGCCUGCUAAGAAUACCAAAGCCAGAAGAACACUAAAGUUCUCAAGGUCCCUCAAUGAUGUGGGUGAGAAGGCGCAGGAUACUUCAGAAAGUUUUGCCUAUGUGGAAAGAACUUGUUCUGAAGGGAAAUUAAUACUCCCUCAAGAUACGUGUCUCAGAACUAACAGGUUUCAUCAUAAAGAAAAAAGAACCCUGAACCACAAACCUCUUGGCAAUUCCAAACAUUCUUGUGUUUCAUGCCUUUCUGCCGGUCGCUCAACUGCCUCAGAGGUGGAAGCUGGCAAGGGGGGCAGGCCCGGCCUGCUGCUGGAAGAGAAGGCGGAUGGUGAGGCCACGUCCCGAAGCCGGCAACUGCUCCAGUACCUGUUCUCACUCUCGCACGGCUUGAGCGCCAGCAGCCUGCACAGGUUCCAUGAGCUGGAGAGCUGCGCUGCUCGCCUGCACACUGCCAAGUCCUCCAGCGGGCUGGCAGGGAGUAUGGGCUUCUGCUCUGACGAGAUGGGAGACGACGAUGUCUUUGAGGACAGCACAUCUGCAAAACUGAAGAGUAGGGUUCUGCGGGCGCCCCUCUGCUCCACGGAAAAGGACAGCGACCUGGAUUGUCCUUCUCCCUUCUCUGAAAAAUUACCCCCCAUAUCUCCCGUGUCCACGUCAGGGGAUGUCUGCAGGAUCUGCCACUGUGAAGGAGAUGAUGAGAGCCCCCUGAUCACCCCCUGCCACUGCACAGGAAGCCUCCACUUCGUGCACCAGGCCUGCCUGCAGCAGUGGAUCAAGAGCUCCGACACGCGCUGCUGCGAGCUCUGCAAGUAUGAGUUCAUCAUGGAGACCAAGCUGAAGCCACUGAGAAAAUGGGAGAAGUUGCAGAUGACGUCCAGCGAGCGCAGGAAGAUCAUGUGCUCAGUGACAUUCCACGUCAUUGCCAUCACAUGUGUGGUCUGGUCCUUGUAUGUGCUCAUUGACCGUACUGCUGAGGAGAUCAAGCAGGGGCAGGCAACAGGAAUCCUAGAAUGGCCCUUUUGGACUAAAUUGGUGGUUGUGGCCAUCGGCUUCACCGGAGGACUUCUUUUUAUGUAUGUUCAGUGUAAAGUGUAUGUGCAAUUGUGGAAGAGACUCAAGGCCUAUAAUAGAGUGAUCUAUGUUCAAAACUGUCCAGAAACAAGCAAAAAGAAUAUUUUUGAAAAAUCUCCACUAACAGAGCCCAACUUUGAAAAUAAACAUGGAUAUGGAAUCUGUCAUUCCGACACAAACUCUUCUUGUUGCACAGAGCCUGAAGACACUGGAGCAGAAAUCAUUCACGUCUGAUUGUGUGCGGGUUGUCAUUUUCCUGGACAUCCAUGAAGAGCUGAAGGAAAUUGUUUACUGCCAAUUGUAUACCUUUCUUAUGUCCUUUAAUAGCAUAGACUGGACAGGUGACUAUUUAUAGUGGCUUCUCUUUUUCUAAACCCUCCUUAGUCUCCUAGAAAACCUUCCUGUGGGCCAGGCAUGCCUGGGUCCUGCCUCUGCCUGGCAGCUCUGUGGGAAAGUGGAAGACCCCAUGAUGACAUCAUGGGGAGCCAGCAGAGUUCCUGCCCAUGGUCUUGAGCUGAAUGAGAGAAUAAAAUGCCAAUCCCAAGGGAAGAGGAGGAGCAGGGGUGCCCAGGCCCUGAUACCCAGCCGCCUCCAGCUUGCAGUGGUCCCCAGCCUGGAGCAGAGCAUUGGGGAGUGUCUAGCCAUGACGAGAAGAUUCCCUCUGCAUCACGGCGAACCCCAGGAGAUGGUAUUGAAACAGACCCCCAAACACAGACUCCUGCCUGCCCUCUGCCGAUGCUGCCUCCUCCAUGCUCUUGAGCAGGUGGAGCCAUGGUGCUCUGUGGUGGCGCAUGAUUCACUGAGCAAACAGCACUUUACAGAAGAAAAUCUUUAUUUUGUAAUAUGUGUGUCCAGCGGGAUUGACACUCAAAAAAAGUCUCACUUAGAAAUCUUCCCUUCCUUACCUUUGUAUCUCCUUUACAUCAUGAGAGAUCAAAAAUCCAUUUUGCCUUACAUAUGCUAAGAAGCGUGGCAUUCUUUCUGUUCAUAAAACAGACUCAUGACUUUUAAGACAGGACAAGCAGGCCAGAGGCUUUUUUUUUAAUCACAGAUCUCAUGGGAAUUAGUGGAUGCUAAAUGGCAAUUAAAGCAUGAUUCCUAUGCUUUUGAGCCUGUUUUAUGACAAGGUGUUACUUUGUAGACCUGGCCCAUACAUUUCUUUUUUGUCAACACUGAAAAAGAACAGUUUCUGAGAUCGAAAUGGAAGGAAAGGAAGUGAGUAAUGACAACAAAACUGAAUAUUUAAAAAAUAUUCCUUUAUAGUUAAAUCUCUCCAGUUGGUGUUGGCUUCACAUUGAAAGAGCAGCCAUGUGCCACCCUGGCCGGGGUGUGUGCACUGCAUGCAGGUUCUCCCUUGCAUGCAAGAUGGGUGCUGGCCCACUGUGAGGCUUCUGCUCGGGGAAGUUCUGUGGAGUCACUACCAGGGCCAAGAGGCAGGUGGGCUGGCUCUGGGACGAGGGCCAGGUGUGAGCAAACUGCCAGGGUCCGCUGUGCCACUGCUCCCCGGCCACAUGCCCGCCCAGCUGUCGCCUUAACCAGACUGAACAGACAGGAUCCUUCAGGGCCCUUGGCCCCACUCUCAGUGCAUUCUGUCAUCAGGGAUUACCACCUGUACCAUUUUCAUAAAACAAAACCAAAAUCACUACCAUCAAAUGGCCUUGUCCCUCUAAAAAGUCUGCUUAAAAUUCUGUUUUUAAAACCCAGUUUCCUAGUUUUCCAGGCAAAUAGUUACCUCCGGGAAAGUUGCUGGGGGGGCCUGAAGCACAAUGUAGCGCAGAUGCUUCCUUUCCAGGCCAUUCUCUCACCCAGCCUGCACGGAGGAGAUGGGAGAUGCUGGGGGUCCUGCCCUCAGUCUUUUUGGGCCUUAGGCGUUUCGUUCAUCCUGCUAAGGGGAUGAAGCAAACACGAGGUGAUUCCUUUGCCUUUCAGAGUGGAAGCCCUGGAGUUUGUUUUGAAGGCCAGGAGGCUGAAGGAUCUCUAAGCUACGGUGUGGGCUUAAUAGCAGCAGGCUUUGUCCUCCUGUCUCCUCCAAGCCAGUGUCUGAUUCCUUGGCAACACAGGUCUUAGUCUGUGGAGUGGCUCUGCUGUGGCCUUCCUCUGGCCGGGCAGGCACUGUCCAGCCAUAGCCAGCUCCUGAGAAUAGGUCAGCCUCUCCUUUCUGUCUCCCAGGGCACAUCCAGCCCGUGCCUGUGUUCACUGUGCCCCGAAGUGCAAUUACCCAUACCCCUUCUCAGCCUGGGGACCCCAGGCAACCACAGACUGUCCACUCAGGGGAGCUGAAUCCCAGGUCAGCCCUGCCAAUGUCCCUUAGGAACUGCCCAGGCAAGGCCCCUGGUUUUGUAUACUUGUUCCUGCCACCCAGCAGUAGAUGAGUGUUUCAGGUGAAGACCAGGAUAGAUUUUCUAAGUGUGAAUCCCCACUUCACAUAUGGAACCCCUUAUGCUGAACUUGAAAAGCACCAAGACUUCCUGUAGACAAGAAAGUGCUUAGGUAGGGACAGCCCCUGGGCAUCCCACCCAAUGUAGCUGGCACCCCACUAUGGCAAAGGUGCCUUGAUAACUGAGCCCUGUAUCCCUCCCAUGCCCAGCCAGAUUCUCAUGGGAAGCCCUCUCCCUUCUUUUCUGCCUAACACCAUCUCAUCGUUUCUGGCCUCACUGUGGACAAUCCACACACAUUCUUCUUUCCUCUCCUGGCGGGGCACAGAGCCACCCCCUUGCCUUUUCUUUUCUUGAAGGUUCUAGUUCAGCUCCUGAUUCAUCAGACCCUUCUAGCCCCCUGCAUCUAGCAGUGAAGCAUGAAGCCUGGUGGGGAUGUGGUACUCCCAUCUGGUGUGGCCACCAGCUCUGCCAAUGUUCCUGUAGCCUUGGAAAACUUGCUCUCUCGGUUCUUUUGGGUGCUGUGUACUCCCCAGCUUCCCCCCUUCCCCCCCCAUUUUGCACCUGGGUUUAGUGAAAGGAUGGCAUUUGGUUGACCCAUAUAGAAACCCAGAAUGAGGUCUCAGGGCCAGGAGGCCUGGUAUUUGUAGGCCAGGGAAGGGGAAGAGGCAAGUGGUCUGGGGUAUCACCAGCCAGCCCUCUCUGAUUUGGCCUCUACUCCCCAUAAGUCACAGUACCAUAAGCAGGCUUCUGGCCUCAGCAAUUUGGUCUUUGUGCCCAAGUUUAUUGUGAGAAUUUCCUGAAAACUCUAUAAAAGGUCUCUUCCUACUGUAGGCCUCUAAUGUUUCUCCCCUUUUUGCUUCAGUCCACUCUUCAGUCUUGUAGGCCUAGUUUUCAAACCUGCACAUGUGUCCUACCUGGCCACAGGCAUGCAGGCCUCAGGCAGCUGGGCCAGUUUGGGAGCCUCGGGUGAUGUCUGCACGAUCUGGGGCUGCCUCUGCACCCCUGCUGUGGGCUUCAGGGUUGGAGAAGGGCUGGGACCAACCGGGUGAGAUCCACAAGUCUCUGGAUGUGGCUGAAGGCAAAUACACAAUUGAAGUACUUUCUGUUUUGAAGUGCUUUCCCUUUUGAAUCUGGUUUGAAACAUGCAGCUUCUGUCUCUAGCCCAAGGAAAGACCAAAACAUAGGGAAAUAAAAGCAUUUAUCUUUGUCUUGGAAGUAAUUGUUGAAGUUGUGCAGUUGAUCAGUGCACAGUUAGAUGCAAUGUUUAUAGAAAUUGAUUGUUAAACCAAAUUUACACUGGCAUGUGUGGUGUAGUUUCUAAAAGGCACUUCACAUUUGAAAUUUUUCUUACCUUAGAAAGUUUCUAGUGAUCUAAAUGUCUAGUUUUGUAUUCUUUUGUGUGUGUUCACUGUUUCUCAGUAUUACCACUUGAAUAAUUCUCUGUACAGGGGGGUUUGUGCUAUACACUGGGAUGUCUAAUUGCAGCAAUAAAGCCUUUCUUUAAAAAG